UACGGAGGGGGCUAGCGUUGUUCGGAAUUACUGGGGCGUAAAGCGCGCGUAGGCGGCUUUGUAAGUUAGAGGUGAAAGCCCGGAGCUCAACUCCGGAAUUGCCUUUAAGACUGCAUCGCUAGAAUCAUGGGAGAGGUGAGUGGAAUUCCGAGUGUAGAGGUGAAAUUCGUAGAUAUUCGGAAGAACACCAGUGGCGAAGGCGACUCACUGGACAUGUAUUGACGCUGAGGUGCG
Molecule: ribosomal RNA, 234 nt
Filed under: uncultured bacterium
Lineage: Bacteria
Description: partial 16S ribosomal RNA
Rfam family: Bacterial small subunit ribosomal RNA
Source: RNAcentral